GAUGAACGCUGGCGGCGUGCCUAACACAUGCAAGUCGAACGAGGCAAUAUAGUAAGAUUCCUUCGGGAUUAAAUUAUAUUGGCUAGUGGCGAACGGGUGAGUAACACGUGAGUAAUCUGCCUUUUACUGGGGAAUAACCUAGAGAAAUCUAGGCUAACACCGCAUAUGCUGACAGAAUCGCAUGAUUCAGUCAGGAAAUAUUUAUAGGUAAAAGAUGAGCUCGCGUCUGAUUAGCUAGUUGGUAGGGUAAAGGCCUACCAAGGCAACUAUCAGUAACCGGCCUGAGAGGGUGAACGGUCACACUGGGACUGAGACACGGCCCAGACUCCUACGGGAGGCAGCAGUGGGGAAUAUUGCACAAUGGACGCAAGUCUGAUGCAGCGACGUCGCGUGAAGGAAGAAGUAUCUAGGUACGUAAACUUCAAGCAGCAGGGACGAAUACAUGACGGUACCUGACUAAAAGCACCGGCUAACUAUGUGCCA
RNAcentral lists this ribosomal RNA (483 nucleotides) under uncultured bacterium. Its description in RNAcentral is "bacterial SSU rRNA". It matches the Rfam family "Bacterial small subunit ribosomal RNA", at positions 28 to 510 of the family's 1533-position model. The record is from RNAcentral.